ACGGAAGGCAGCAGUGGGGAAUAUUGGACAAUGGGCGAAAGCCUGAUCCAGCGACGCCGCGUGAGUGAAGAAGUAUUUCGGUAUGUAAAGCUCUAUCAGCAGGGAAGAUAAUGACGGUACCUGACUAAGAAGCACCGGCUAAAUACGUGCCAGCAGCCGCGGUAAUACGUAUGGUGCAAGCGUUAUCCGGAUUUACUGGGUGUAAAGGGUGCGUAGGUGGUAUGGCAAGUCAGAAGUGAAAACACGGGGCUCAACCCCGUGACUGCUUUUGAAACUGUCAAACUAGAGUGCAGGAGAGGAAAGCGGAAUUCCUAGUGUAGCGGUGAAAUGCGUAGAUAUUAGGAGGAACACCAGUGGCGAAGGCGGCUUUCUGGACUGUAACUGACACUGAGGCACGAAAGCGUGGGGAGCAAACAGGAUUAGAUACCCUGGUA
Molecule: ribosomal RNA, 434 nt
Filed under: uncultured Lachnospiraceae bacterium
Lineage: Bacteria; Bacillati; Bacillota; Clostridia; Lachnospirales; Lachnospiraceae
Description: partial 16S ribosomal RNA
Rfam family: Bacterial small subunit ribosomal RNA
Source: RNAcentral